CGGAGGGUGCAAGCGUUAUCCGGAUUCACUGGGUUUAAAGGGUGCGUAGGCGGCUAUAUAAGUCAGUGGUGAAAGCCCGCAGCUCAACUGCGGAAUUGCCAUUGAAACUGCAUAGCUUGAAUCUGGUUGAAGUGGGCGGAAUACAUCAUGUAGCGGUGAAAUGCCUAGAUAUGAUGUAGAACACCGAUUGCGAAGGCAGCUCACUAAGCCAACAUUGACGCUGAGGCACGAAAGCGUGGGUAGCGAACAGGAUUAGAUACCCUGGUAGUCCACGCCCUAAACGAUGAAUACUCGAUGUGUGCUCCUUGAGGGUACGCGUCCAAGCAAAAGCGUUAAGUAUUCCACCUGGGAAGUACGGCCGCAAGGUUA
Molecule: ribosomal RNA, 369 nt
Filed under: uncultured organism
Description: bacterial SSU rRNA
Rfam family: Bacterial small subunit ribosomal RNA
Source: RNAcentral